Molecule: ribosomal RNA, 301 nt
Filed under: uncultured bacterium
Lineage: Bacteria
Description: partial 16S ribosomal RNA
Rfam family: Bacterial small subunit ribosomal RNA
Source: RNAcentral
CAGCAGCCGCGGUAAUACGAAGGGGGCUAGCGUUGUUCGGAUUUACUGGGCGUAAAGGGCGCGUAGGCGGACUGAUAAGUCAGGGGUGAAAUCCCAAGGCUCAACCUUGGAACUGCCUUUGAUACUGUUUGUCUUGAGUUCGAGAGAGGUAAGUGGAACUGCGAGUGUAGAGGUGAAAUUCGUAGAUAUUCGCAAGAACACCAGUGGCGAAGGCGGCUUACUGGCUCGAUACUGACGCUGAGGCGCGAAAGCGUGGGGAGCAAACAGGAUUAGAUACCCCAGUAGUCCCUGUCUCUUAUAC